AGAGAGAGAGAGAGAGAAAGCAAAGUAAAAGUCCAAAACAUUUUCAGGUAGUGAAGAUUAUUAUGGAAAUGAAAAAUGCUGCUCCAUCAAGAAACCUAAGAAAAAUAUAUGGUAGCUGCAGCAAUUCAGAGAAUUGAGAAAUUCCUCACAGGAUCAAUGCCAACUUUGGCCCCAGGUGGCAAAACAUCAUUCAGCCAUUCAAUUGUAUUUGGGACUCCAAGAUUACCAGCCCGCAUGAGAAUCCAACUGGAGUUCAACUGCUUCUCAGCCUGAAGAAAAUAUCGACCAUCCGUCCAAAGAGCUGCCUGCUCCUUAGUAACAACGACAGUGCCAGCGCUACCAGUAAACCCUGAUAUAUAGGCUCUUCGCAUGUAACACUCAGCAAUGAAUUCACUCUGGUGAGCAUCCUGAGAAGGUAUAAUAUACGCGUCGAUGCCAACCCCAGGCUUGGAGAACAGCUCACGGAGGGCACGGAGCUUCUCGUCCGGUUCGGAUUUAUGGGUGAUAUUCCUGCGAAUUUGCGAAGAAGGCUUGGCUGUGAUAGAACUACAACCUUUUAUUAAAAGAGGGCAUUUGGAGAAAUUAGAGUAGAAUUUGGGUUGAGUUCUGAUAUUCGGGAAAAAGGACGUAGGAAGUGAGCUAGAGAGGAAUCGAUAGUAGAGAGAUCGAGAAGAUUGAGCAAGGGACGCUGAGAAGGAGAGCGGCUGCAUCAUUGGCGAUUCCAGCGAGUGUAUAGCAGCGAAUUCCACAGAGAUAUCAGAGACAAGAAGAAGAAGAAGACGAAAAAGAAGAAGAAGAAGAAGA
RNAcentral lists this unclassified non-coding RNA (804 nucleotides) under Hevea brasiliensis (rubber tree). The record is from RNAcentral. Lineage: Eukaryota; Viridiplantae; Streptophyta; Magnoliopsida; Malpighiales; Euphorbiaceae.